GACGAACGCUGGCGGCGUGCCUAAUACAUGCAAGUCGAACGAACAGCCGAGGAGCUUGCCUCCCUGCCGUUUGCGUCGCACGGGUGUGUGAAACGUGGAUAAAACCCCUCUUACACUGGGAUAAAUUAGGGAAAAAGGAGCUCUUAUAGGACAAUCUAUUGAAUCGCGUCGUUCAAUAGUGAAAGACGGUUUUCUCGACAUUUAUACAAGCACUGGCGCCGGAUUAGCUAGUUGGUAAGGUAACGGGUUACCAAGGCAACGAUGAGUAGCCGACCUGAGAGGGUGAUCGGCCACACUGGAACGGAGACACGGUCCAGACUCCUACGGGAGGAGGAGUGAGGGAAUCUUCGGCAAUGGGCGAAGGCCGAACGGAGCAACGCCGCUGGAGGGAGGAGGGCUUCCGGUUGGAAAAACCCGUUUAUUGGGGAAGAACAAAUUUUUGAGAAAAGAGGCACGGAUUGACGGUACCGAAUCAGAAAGCCACGGCUAACUACGUG
This 497-nucleotide ribosomal RNA is filed under the name uncultured bacterium. RNAcentral's name for it is "partial 16S ribosomal RNA". It matches the Rfam family "Bacterial small subunit ribosomal RNA", at positions 28 to 507 of the family's 1533-position model. The record is from RNAcentral.